CAAGCAGGUGUGCCUCUCAUGCUGUCUUUCUGCUUCACUACCGCGUGCUCUUAGACGUACAGCUCUCGCACACGCAACUAGCGUAGCGAAGCACACCUUCCAUCUCAGGAUAUUCGGUUUAGUGACCGCGCCAGGAUCGCGACUCUCGACUAUGCGGCCCUCGUGCUCUGUUCGGCGCGGUCCACUUGGUGCUGGGGUACCAGACCACGUUCCUCGAGAACCUCACCUAUCUUGGCCUGUGCCUCAUCUUCUACACCACGCUCUGCGUCUGGGGCAGUGGUGAUUCUGGUGAGACAGCAGCUCUCUUCAAUCCUUCCGGGACCUGCGUGGUGUGGACCGCUUUACAGCUUGCCUGCGCAGGGAACGCCUGCUGUGCUCUGGGUGCUCUCCCUAUGUUCUCCUUUCCCACGGGAACGCAAUAGUGUGCGCCUCUUUUGGUGCUUUCGGCCCCAAAGAGCUGCCAUUGCGGUCGUGAAACACGCUAGUUUAUGACUGAUGCCUUUAUCUGCGGCAGCUCCUCUGUUGGCGGUGGGUAGGGCAGCUGUCCUAUCUCUGGAGUUAUGAAGUGCGCUCUCUACUGGCUUAUUGCUGCCUCGUCUUGAUGCGCCUCUGUACGCUUCCGUGUGCGCUGCGAGGGAUAGGCAUAGUCCCCCUGUUCUAUUCUGAGGUGGUCUGUCAACACUCUGAGUACGGUCAAUAUGCGCCGGCUUGUGUCAUCUUGUUCGGGUGUAGGCGUAUGAACCCGUCACCAUCACAGUGCUCCGUAUCGUUUCCCUUUUCAUAUGGUGGUGGUGGUUGUGGGAGAAGGAGGGGGGUCGCAUCGCUCCCACCCACUCAUCUUUCGCGAAGACAAGUGCUCUACGGCUCUUCAGCAUCUAUGUGUUGGUAGAGCGUCCACCUACAGGAUCAUCUCCGAGGUGGCCGUGCACGUUUUUCUUUUCGGCCGCACAUUAAUGUGGUUUAUGUCCCUCCCUCCACGCAUCCCCCUCUUUGUGGGUGUCUCUGUCUUCAACGGCGUGUACCCUCGUACGCGUCUUUUAUAGGUG
Molecule: unclassified non-coding RNA, 1046 nt
Filed under: Leishmania donovani
Lineage: Eukaryota; Euglenozoa; Kinetoplastea; Trypanosomatida; Trypanosomatidae
Description: gene:unknown
Source: RNAcentral